RNAcentral lists this ribosomal RNA (482 nucleotides) under uncultured bacterium. Its description in RNAcentral is "partial 16S ribosomal RNA". It matches the Rfam family "Bacterial small subunit ribosomal RNA", at positions 30 to 507 of the family's 1533-position model. The record is from RNAcentral.
AUUGAACGCUGGCGGCAUGCCUUACACAUGCAAGUCGAACGGUAACAGGUCUUCGGAUGCUGACGAGUGGCGAACGGGUGAGUAAUACAUCGGAACGUGCCCAGACGUGGGGGAUAACGAGGCGAAAGCUUUGCUAAUACCGCAUACGAUCUAAGGAUGAAAGCAGGGGACCGCAAGGCCUUGCGCGUUUGGAGCGGCCGAUGGCAGAUUAGGUAGUUGGUGGGAUAAAAGCUUACCAAGCCGACGAUCUGUAGCUGGUCUGAGAGGACGACCAGCCACACUGGGACUGAGACACGGCCCAGACUCCUACGGGAGGCAGCAGUAGGGAAUUUUGGACAAUGGGCGAAAGCCUGAUCCAGCAAUGCCGCGUGCAGGAUGAAGGCCUUCGGAUUGUAAACUGCUUUUGUACGGAACGAAAAGGCGCUGGCUAAUACCUGGGGCACAUGACGGUACCGUAAGAAUAAGCACCGGCUAACUACGUG